CUACGGGAGGCAGCAGUGGGGAAUAUUGGACAAUGGGGGGAACCCUGAUCCAGCCAUGCCGCGUGUGUGAAGAAGGCCUUAUGGUUGUAAAGCACUUUAAGCGAGGAGGAGGCUCUCUUGGUUAAUACCCAAGAAGAGUGGACGUUACUCGCAGAAUAAGCACCGGCUAACUCUGUGCCAGCAGCCGCGGUAAUACAGAGGGUGCGAGCGUUAAUCGGAUUUACUGGGCGUAAAGCGUGCGUAGGCGGCUUUUUAAGUCGGAUGUGAAAUCCCCGAGCUUAACUUGGGAAUUGCAUUCGAUACUGGGAAGCUAGAGUAUGGGAGAGGAUGGUAGAAUUCCAGGUGUAGCGGUGAAAUGCGUAGAGAUCUGGAGGAAUACCGAUGGCGAAGGCAGCCAUCUGGCCUAAUACUGACGCUAAGGUACGAAAGCAUGGGGAGCAAACAGGAUUAGAUACCCGAGUAGUC
This 465-nucleotide ribosomal RNA is filed under the name uncultured bacterium. Its description in RNAcentral is "partial 16S ribosomal RNA". It matches the Rfam family "Bacterial small subunit ribosomal RNA", at positions 339 to 795 of the family's 1533-position model. The record is from RNAcentral.